GCCUGGGUAGCUUAGUUGGUUAAACAUCUGACUUCCGCUCAGAUCAUGACCUUGGGGUUUGUGGGUUCAAGCCCUGUGUCAGGCU
This 85-nucleotide transfer RNA is filed under the name Felis catus (domestic cat). It matches the Rfam family "tRNA". Rfam says of the family: Transfer RNA (tRNA) molecules are approximately 80 nucleotides in length. Their secondary structure includes four short double-helical elements and three loops (D, anti-codon, and T loops). Further hydrogen bonds mediate the characteristic L-shaped molecular structure. tRNAs have two regions of fundamental functional importance: the anti-codon, which is responsible for specific mRNA codon recognition, and the 3' end, to which the tRNAs corresponding amino acid is attached (by aminoacyl-tRNA synthetases). tRNAs cope with the degeneracy of the genetic code in two manners: having more than one tRNA (with a specific anti-codon) for a particular amino acid; and 'wobble' base-pairing, i.e. permitting non-standard base-pairing at the 3rd anti-codon position. Lineage: Eukaryota; Metazoa; Chordata; Mammalia; Carnivora; Felidae. The record is from Rfam by way of RNAcentral.